UCCCUGGUGGCUCAGAGGGUAAAGCGUCUGCCUGCAAUGCAGGAGACCAGGGUUCAAUCCCUGGGUUGGGAA
This 72-nucleotide transfer RNA is filed under the name Bos taurus (domestic cattle). It matches the Rfam family "tRNA". Rfam says of the family: Transfer RNA (tRNA) molecules are approximately 80 nucleotides in length. Their secondary structure includes four short double-helical elements and three loops (D, anti-codon, and T loops). Lineage: Eukaryota; Metazoa; Chordata; Mammalia; Artiodactyla; Bovidae. RNAcentral also lists the same sequence under 1 other name. The record is from Rfam by way of RNAcentral.